UCAGAUAUGGGUGGAAUGGUGAUGG
RNAcentral lists this microRNA (25 nucleotides) under Tribolium castaneum (red flour beetle). RNAcentral's name for it is "tca-miR-11630-5p". Lineage: Eukaryota; Metazoa; Arthropoda; Insecta; Coleoptera; Tenebrionidae. The record is from miRBase by way of RNAcentral.